CCCCCCCACGCCGGAAGACCAAGGUUUCCUGUCCCAUGCUAAUCAGGGCAGGGUAAGUCGGCCCCUAAGGCGAGGCAGAAAUGCGUAGUCGAUGGGAAACGGGUUAAUAUUCCCGUACUUUUAUGUACAGUGAUGGGGUGACGGAGAAGGCUAUGCUAUCGUGGCGUUGGUUGUCCACGUGAAAGUAGGUAGGCUGAGUGUUUAGGUAAAUCCGGACACUCUUAAGGCCGAGAUACGAGACGAGUUUCUACGGAAACGAAGUAGCAGAUGCCCGGCUUCCAGGAAAAUCCUCUAAGCGUAUGUACAUAAGAACCGUACCCCAAACCGACACAGGUGGUCAGGUAGAGAAUACUAAGGCGCUUGAGAGAACUCGGGUGAAGGAACUCGGCAAAAUAGUACCGUAACUUCGGGAGAAGGUACGCCCCUGGUUGUGAAUCCCUUGCGGAGUAAGCAACUGGGGGCCGCAGUGACCAGAUGGCUGGGACUGUUUAUUAAAAACACAGCACUGUGCUAAAUCGAAAGAUGACGUAUACGGUGUGACACCUGCCCGGUGCCGGAAGGUUAAUUGAUGGGGUUAGCGUAAGCGAAGCUCUUGAUCGAAGCCCCGGUAAACGGCGGCCGU
This 622-nucleotide ribosomal RNA is filed under the name Triparma pacifica. RNAcentral describes it as "partial Bacterial large subunit ribosomal RNA". It matches the Rfam family "Bacterial large subunit ribosomal RNA", at positions 1327 to 1937 of the family's 2925-position model. Lineage: Eukaryota; Bolidophyceae; Parmales; Triparmaceae. The record is from RNAcentral.